AUUGAACGCUGGCGGCAUGCCUUACACAUGCAAGUCGAACGGUAACAGGUUAAGCUGACGAGUGGCGAACGGGUGAGUAAUGUAUCGGAACGUGCCCAGUCGUGGGGGAUAACGUAGUGAAAGCUACGCUAAUACCGCAUACGAUCUACGGAUGAAAGCGGGGGAUCGCAAGACCUCGCGCGAUUGGAGCGGCCGAUAUCAGAUUAGGUUGUUGGUGAGGUAAAAGCUCACCAAGCCUGCGAUCUGUAGCUGGUCUGAGAGGACGACUAGCCACACUGGAACUGAGACACGGUCCAGACUCCUACGGGAGGCAGCAGUGGGGAAUUUUGGACAAUGGACGCAAGUCUGAUCCAGCAAUGCCGCGUGCAGGACGAAGGCCUUCGGGUUGUAAACUGCUUUUGUACGGAACGAAACGGUGAGCUCUAAUACAGUUUGCUAAUGACGGUACCGUAAGAAUAAGCACCGGCUAACUACGUGCCAGCCGCCGCCGUAA
This 493-nucleotide ribosomal RNA is filed under the name uncultured bacterium. RNAcentral's name for it is "partial 16S ribosomal RNA". It matches the Rfam family "Bacterial small subunit ribosomal RNA", at positions 30 to 523 of the family's 1533-position model. The record is from RNAcentral.